This 773-nucleotide ribosomal RNA is filed under the name uncultured bacterium. Its description in RNAcentral is "bacterial SSU rRNA". It matches the Rfam family "Bacterial small subunit ribosomal RNA", at positions 8 to 796 of the family's 1533-position model. The record is from RNAcentral.
AGAGUUUGAUCCUGGCUCAGGACGAACGCUGGCGGCGUGCUUAACACAUGCAAGUCGAGCGGUAAGGCCUCUUCGGGGGUACACGAGCGGCGAACGGGUGAGUAACACGUGAGUAAUCUGCCCUUCACUUCGGGAUAAGCUUCGGAAACGGGGUCUAAUACCGGAUAUGACAUGGACCUGCAUGGGUUUGUGUGGAAAGUUUUUUCGGUGGGGGAUGUGCUCGCGGCCUAUCAGCUUGUUGGUGGGGUAAUGGCUCACCAAGGCUUUGACGGGUAGCCGGCCUGAGAGGGUGACCGGCCACACUGGGACUGAGACACGGCCCAGACUCCUACGGGAGGCAGCAGUGGGGAAUAUUGCACAAUGGGCGCAAGCCUGAUGCAGCGACGCCGCGUGGGGGAUGACGGCCUUCGGGUUGUAAACCCCUUUCAGCACAGACGAAGCGCGAGUGACGGUAUGUGCAGAAGAAGGACCGGCCAACUACGUGCCAGCAGCCGCGGUAAUACGUAGGGUCCGAGCGUUGUCCGGAAUUACUGGGCGUAAAGAGCUCGUAGGUGGUUUGUCGCGUUGUUCGUGAAAACUCACAGCUCAACUGUGGGCGUGCGGGCGAUACGGGCAGACUAGAGUACUGCAGGGGAGACUGGAAUUCCUGGUGUAGCGGUGGAAUGCGCAGAUAUCAGGAGGAACACCGGUGGCGAAGGCGGGUCUCUGGGCAGUAACUGACGCUGAGGAGCGAAAGCGUGGGGAGCGAACAGGAUUAGAUACCCUAGUAGUCC